GGCGUAAGGGCUCGCAGGCGGUUUCUUAAGUCUGAUGUGAAAGCCCCCGGCUCAACCGGGGAGGGUCAUUGGAAACUGGGAAACUUGAGUGCAGAAGAGGAGAGUGGAAUUCCACGUGUAGCGGUGAAAUGCGUAGAGAUGUGGAGGAACACCAGUGGCGAAGGCGACUCUCUGGUCUGUAACUGACGCUGAGGAGCGAAAGCGUGGGGAGCGAACAGGAUUAGAUACCCUGGUAGUCCACGCCGUAAACGAUGAGUGCUAAGUGUUAGGGGGUUUCCGCCCCUUAGUGCUGCAGCUAACGCAUUAAGCACUCCGCCUGGGGAGUACGGUCGCAAGACUGAAACUCAAAGGAAUUGACGGGGGCCCGCACAAGCGGUGGAGCAUGUGGUUUAAUUCGAAGCAACGCGAAGAACCUUACCAGGUCUUGACAUCCUCUGACAACCCUAGAGAUAGGGCUUUCCCUUCGGGGACAGAGUGACAGGUGGUGCAUGGUUGUCGUCAGCUCGUGUCGUGAGAUGUUGGGUUAAGUCCCGCAACGAGCGCAACCCUUGAUCUUAGUUGCCAGCAUUUAGUUGGGCACUCUAAGGUGACUGCCGGUGACAAACCGGAGGAAGGUGGGGAUGACGUCAAAUCAUCAUGCCCCUUAUGACCUGGGCUACACACGUGCUACAAUGGACAGAACAAAGGGCUGCGAGACCGCAAGGUUUAGCCAAUCCCAUAAAUCUGUUCUCAGUUCGGAUCGCAGUCUGCAACUCGACUGCGUGAAGCUGGAAUCGCUAGUAAUCGCGGAUCAGCAUGCCGCGGUGAAUACGUUCGCGGGCCUUGUACACACC
RNAcentral lists this ribosomal RNA (833 nucleotides) under Bacillus pumilus. RNAcentral describes it as "bacterial SSU rRNA". It matches the Rfam family "Bacterial small subunit ribosomal RNA", at positions 557 to 1391 of the family's 1533-position model. The record is from RNAcentral. Lineage: Bacteria; Bacillati; Bacillota; Bacilli; Caryophanales; Bacillaceae.